RNAcentral lists this ribosomal RNA (521 nucleotides) under uncultured bacterium. Its description in RNAcentral is "bacterial SSU rRNA". It matches the Rfam family "Bacterial small subunit ribosomal RNA", at positions 1 to 524 of the family's 1533-position model. The record is from RNAcentral.
UAGAGUUUGAUCCUGGCUCAGAUUGAACGCUGGCGGCAUGCCUAACACAUGCAGGUCGAACGGUAACGCGGGGGCAACCCUGGCGACGAGUGGCGGACGGGUGAGUAAUACGUAGGAAUCUGCCCAUUUGUGGGGGAUAACCCGGCGAAAGCCGGGCUAAUACCGCAUACGCUCUACGGAGGAAAGCAGGGGAUCGUAAGACCUUGCGCUAAUGGAUGAGCCUACGUCGGAUUAGCUAGUUGGUAGGGUAACGGCCUACCAAGGCGACGAUCCGUAGCUGGUCUGAGAGGACGAUCAGCCACACUGGGACUGAGACACGGCCCAGACUCCUACGGGAGGCAGCAGUGGGGAAUAUUGGACAAUGGGGGCAACCCUGAUCCAGCAAUGCCGCGUGUGUGAAGAAGGCCUGCGGGUUGUAAAGCACUUUCAGAGGGGAAGAAAAAAUCGGAGCUAACAUCUCCGAGCUUGACGUUACCCUUAGAAGAAGCACCGGCUAACUACGUGCCAGCAGCCCCGGUCAA